UGGGGAAUCUUGCGCAAUGCGCGAAAGCGUGACGCAGCAACGCCGCGUGAGGGAAGAAGGCCUUCGGGUUGUAAACCUCUUUCAGGAGGGACGCGGUACCUCCAGAAGAAGCCCCGGCUAACUACGUGCCAGCAGCCGCGGUAAUACGUAGGGGGCUAGCGUUGUCCGGAAUCAUUGGGCGUAAAGCGCGCGUAGGCGGCCCGGUAAGUCCGCUGUAAAAGUCAAAGGCUCAACCUUUGAAUGUCAGUGGAUACUGCCGGGCUAGAGUCCGGAAGAGGCGAGUGGAACUCCUGGUGUAGCGGUGGAAUGCGCAGAUAUCAGGAAGAACACCGACGGCGAAGGCAGCUCGCUGGGACGGUACUGACGCUGAGGCGCGAAAGCGUGGGGAGCGAACAGGAUUAGAUACCCUUGUAGU
This 415-nucleotide ribosomal RNA is filed under the name uncultured bacterium. RNAcentral describes it as "bacterial SSU rRNA". It matches the Rfam family "Bacterial small subunit ribosomal RNA", at positions 355 to 794 of the family's 1533-position model. The record is from RNAcentral.